This 253-nucleotide ribosomal RNA is filed under the name uncultured bacterium. RNAcentral's name for it is "partial 16S ribosomal RNA". It matches the Rfam family "Bacterial small subunit ribosomal RNA", at positions 524 to 776 of the family's 1533-position model. The record is from RNAcentral.
GACGGAGGGUGCAAGCGUUGUCCGGAAUUAUUGGGCGUAAAGAGCUCGUAGGCGGUCAGUCGCGUCUGCUGUGAAAACCCGCAGCUUAACUGCGGGCUUGCGGUUGAUACGGGCGGGCUAGAGUUCGGUAGGGGAGACUGGAAUUCCUGGUGUAGCGGUGAAAUGCGCAGAUAUCAGGAGGAACACCGGUGGCGAAGGCGGGUCUCUGGGCCGAUACUGACGCUGAGGAGCGAAAGCGUGGGGAGCGAACAGG